AUUUCCUGGCUCGUGAUUUCUCCCUCCCGUGGUGCCUCGGCCGGAGAUUCCCGACGAUCCCGACGAUCCCAGCGCCGCAUCCCCCUCUCCGGGAGCUGGAAUUCGGCUCCUCCCCCCCCCUCCCCGCUCCCCCCGCCCCCCGGAGCAGCUUUUUGAGGGGUCAUUCCCGGCUCCCGGCUCCGUCACCCAGGGGUCAUUCCCGGCUCCCGGCCCUCCCGAUCCCGCCGUUCCCGCUCCGCAUCCCGGGAUGGAGCCCUUGGCUCCCGUCGCCUUCCUGGCCCUGCUGGGGGUGGCCCUGGGACACCCCGACCCCGCCCUGGAUCGGCACUGGGAGCUCUGGAAAAAAACCUACGGGAAGGAAUAUCGGCACCAGAAGGAGGAUUCGCUCCGUCGGGCGACGUGGGAGAAGAACCUGUGGCUGGUGACGCUCCACAACCUGGAGCAUUCCCUGGGAAUCCGCUCCUACACCCUGGGAAUGAACCACCUGGGGGACAUGACCAGUGAGGAGGUGGCGGCGGCGCUGACGGGGCUCCGGGUGGCUCCUCGUCCACGUGGGAACUCGGCAUUCCGAGCCUGGCCGGUCGGGAACGUCCCGGAGGAGAUGGAUUGGCGGGAGAAGGGAUGUGUCACCGAGGUGAAGAACCAGGGCGCCUGCGGAUCCUGCUGGGCCUUCAGCGCCGUGGGAGCUCUGGAAGCGCAGGUGAAGCUGAAAACCGGGAAUCUGGUGUCCCUGAGCACGCAGAACCUGGUGGAUUGCUCCGGGAUGUACGGGAACAAGGGCUGUGCCGGCGGCUACAUGACCGAGGCCUUCCAGUACAUCAUCGACAACCACGGCAUCGAAUCCGAGGAAUCCUAUCCCUACACGGCCCAGAACGGGACGUGCCACUACAACGCCUCGGCCAGCGCCGCCUCCUGCUCCCGCUACGUGGAGCUGCCGGAGGGGGACGAGGCCGCGCUCCGGGACGCCGUGGCCACCGUGGGGCCCGUGGCGGUGGCCAUCGACGCCACCCGGCCCACCUUCUUCCUGUACCGCUCCGGGGUGUACGACGACCCCCAGUGCACGCAGGAGGUGAACCACGCGGUGCUGGUGGUGGGAUACGGAUCCCUGGAAAACAAGGAAUACUGGCUGGUGAAGAACAGCUGGGGGGUCUGGUUUGGAGACUCGGGAUACAUCCGGAUGGCCCGGAACGCUUCCAACCGCUGCGGCAUCGCCAGCUACGCCUCCUAUCCCGUCAUUUAGCCGGAUCCCAACGCUCCUUCCAGGGAAUUCUUCCGCUUCCGGCGGCGUUUUCCGCCUCUGGGGAUUGGAAACAGGGAUUGGACACAGGGACCACAGGGACCAGGUUCAGGGAUCACAGGGAUCUCAGGGAUCGUGGGAUCAUCCCUCUGGAUGAGUCCACGGAGCUGCUGCGAUGCUGGGGGAGUUGACUCCUCCCCAUGUGAUGCUGCUGGAAUUGCGGAUAUUCCUGGGAAAAUAAAAGGUUGCAUUCGCUGUCUGGAAA
This is an RNA transcript of Chiroxiphia lanceolata (lance-tailed manakin), 1502 nucleotides long. It is a transcript of the gene named cathepsin S, with no coding region annotated. The record is from RefSeq and is a predicted model, not a curated record. Lineage: Eukaryota; Metazoa; Chordata; Aves; Passeriformes; Pipridae. The transcript is spliced from 9 exons.